AGUGAACGCUGGCGGUAGGCCUAACACAUGCAAGUCGAACGGCAGCACAGUAAGAGCUUGCUCUUACGGGUGGCGAGUGGCGGACGGGUGAGGAAUACAUCGGAAUCUACUUUUUCGUGGGGGAUAACGUAGGGAAACUUACGCUAAUACCGCAUACGACCUACGGGUGAAAGCAGGGGAUCUUCGGACCUUGCGCGAUUGAAUGAGCCGAUUUCGGAUUAGCUAGUUGGCGGGGUAAAGGCCCACCAAGGCGACGAUCCGUAGCUGGUCUGAGAGGAUGAUCAGCCACACUGGAACUGAGACACGGUCCAGACUCCUACGGGAGGCAGCAGUGGGGAAUAUUGGACAAUGGGCGCAAGCCUGAUCCAGCCAUACCGCGUGGGUGACGAAGGCCUUCGGGUUGUAAAGCCCUUUUGUUGGGAAAGAAAAGCAGCAGGUUAAUACCCCGCUGUUCUGACGGUACCCAAAGAAUAAGCACCGGCUAACUUCGUG
RNAcentral lists this ribosomal RNA (492 nucleotides) under uncultured bacterium. RNAcentral describes it as "partial 16S ribosomal RNA". It matches the Rfam family "Bacterial small subunit ribosomal RNA", at positions 29 to 507 of the family's 1533-position model. The record is from RNAcentral.